UCUCGAGAGCCCCACGCCGACGCCGACUUCAAAUCCGCCAACGAAAAAUCUGGAUUUGUUUCCUCCGCUUGAUUCUUCUCCUCAUAUGGGUUUGUUUCCUCUGCUCGAUUCUUCUCCUCAUCUAGGUUUGUUCCUAUUUCGAUCUUCUGAAACGGAGGACGUAGCAGCUCACAAAUCAACUCCUUUCUCCCUCCGACGCGACCACUCAGGCCAUCGCCUCCGCUCGAUUCCCUGCAUCCUCGCACGUUUUUCCCCUGCUUGUGGGUAGUGAGGUUCGGGCAACCUUUGGAGGCCUGCGCUUUCUCUCUUUAAGCCUUCUUGGGUCGUCAGGACGGAGGCAAGUUCCUCUUUUUGUCUAUCGAGGUGACCCUCUUUGUAUGACGCGUUCCACCUUCCUGCCCUAAAUUCGCACUAAUUCUGGCAUUUCAUGGUUGUGAUGGUCGCAAUCGAACGUGCACAGGGAGGCUUGAAAGAAGCUGGAACUCCUUGCGUCGUCUGCCGUGGGAGCAGAAGGAUCGAUUGUCACCGUUGCCGCGGAAAAGGGUCUCCGCGAAAAAGGUCUCUCUCUCUUUCUCUCUCGGUGGCAAACCCAGAUGGUUUGGUUAGAUAUCAGCUCAGGUUAUUGGUGAAAUCUCCUAACUUGUUGCAAGUACAUACCAUUGCGUUGAGUACCUAGCGGCUGGGAGCCGGCGGCUACGGCCAACCUCCCUCGGGUUUGUACAUUGGAUGUGUGUCGUCAUGUGAAGGCCGGUUCUGAUGACAGAAUCUAUAGGACCAAUUCAUACAUGUUUGUGCCGUAGGCAAAGGCGUAACCUUAAAAAGGAAAAAGAAGGAAAGAGAAAAGAGAGAAGCAUAAUGCAACAGCCAGAUUUCUUGUUUUAUCCCCUUCCUUCGGAUACCCACUUUAAUGUUUGAAUGAACAAUCAGCUGUUGUGUGAAAAACAUUCUAGUCUUGGUGGUUUGUUGCGGGAGCCUCUCUGCGUUCGUAGAUAGAGCCUUGAUCUAAAUCUAAUCUAUGCAGAGAGUCAAGAGUUUGCUGCAAUUAAUGACCGGAGUUGUAAAUGUUAUUGGGGGAUCGUUAGCUUUCUUUGAUGUCCUGAUCAGAAUAGAAAUGUUGUUUGUGAGAGAUCUGCACGUGCAACACUGUUGCAAGUGUCUGCUUAUGGAUAUCUCGUGGGGAUGAACUUGAUUAGUUUCCAAAUGUGAGGGCAUAGAUUGACCUUAUCCAUUGUUCUUGCAAGAGAGAUUCUAUAUAGUUCUCUCUUUUCGGUACUGGCAGCUGUUAAAUUCAGGCUUGCCCUAUCUAAGAUGGGAGGAAAUAUCUCUCUAGGUGGAUAGUGAGGAAUUGAAAAGCAUGAAGGCUACUGCUACCUAGUGAUUGAAGAGAUCCCAUUGCAUUACUAGUGAACCGGUGCAGACUUAUGAGUCAUGGACCACAAGUUAUGGUGGCUUGAUAAGAGGGCAAAGCUCCACAUAUGGUCAAGCGUUGAUAGUCUACUCUUUUCCAAGCAAAGAGACCACUAGGCUUAUGUUUUAUAGCUUCCAUCCACAUAAGAGUCUGUAUGAGUAGGUUUUGUUGUAAUUACGGUGGUCUUCUUCAAUGCUGCUUCUUGUUCCAUAACAAAACACACACUGCAUCGCCAUGACUUCCUUGGAAUUUCACCUUUUGUCCCCUUGCUUAUUUUGCAUCAUUUGGGUUUGUUGUGGGGUGUAAGGGGGUCGAGAAAAUUACAGUGGCAAGUGUGCUUUCAAUCAGAAUGAGAGCAUAGAUUCAUGGCAUUUCGGUAUUCUUUUG
Molecule: long non-coding RNA, 1795 nt
Filed under: Eucalyptus grandis
Lineage: Eukaryota; Viridiplantae; Streptophyta; Magnoliopsida; Myrtales; Myrtaceae
Description: long non-coding RNA (EGRA_LNC006864)
Source: RNAcentral